UAGAGUUUGAUCAUGGCUCAGGAUGAACGCUAGCGACAGGCUUAACACAUGCAAGUCGAGGGGCAGCGGGGAGGUAGCAAUACUUCCGCCGGCGACCGGCGCACGGGUGAGUAACACGUAUGGAACCUGCCCGUAGCAGGGGGAUAAACGGAAGAAAUUCCGUCUAAUACCGCGUAAUAACUCCGAGAGGCAUCUCAUGGAGUUUAAAGGGUAACACCGGCUACGGAUGGCCAUGCGGCGCAUUAGCUAGUUGGCGGGGUAACGGCCCACCAAGGCGACGAUGCGUAGGGGUUCUGAGAGGAAGGUCCCCCACACUGGUACUGAGACACGGACCAGACUCCUACGGGAGGCAGCAGUGAGGAAUAUUGGUCAAUGGGCGCGAGCCUGAACCAGCCAAGUCGCGUGAGGGAAGACGGUCCUAUGGAUUGUAAACCUCUUUUGUCGGGGAGCAAAAGACGCCACGUGUGGCGUUCCGAGAGUACCCGAAGAAAAAGCAUCGGCUAACUCCGUGCCAGCAGCCGCGGUAAUACGGAGGAUGCGAGCGUUAUCCGGAUUUAUUGGGUUUAAAGGGUGCGCAGGCGGAAGAUCAAGUCAGCGGUAAAAUUGAGAGGCUCAACCUCUUCGAGCCGUUGAAACUGGUUUUCUUGAGUGAGCGAGAAGUAUGCGGAAUGCGUGGUGUAGCGGUGAAAUGCAUAGAUAUCACGCAGAACUCCGAUUGCGAAGGCAGCAUACCGGCGCUCAACUGACGCUCAUGCACGAAAGUGUGGGUAUCGAACAGGAUUAGAUACCCUGGUAGUCCACACAGUAAACGAUGAAUACUAAUUGUUCGGGGAGAAUGAUCCCUGAGUGAUACAGCGAAAGCGUUAAGUAUUCCACCUGGGGAGUACGCCGGCAACGGUGAAACUCAAAGGAAUUGACGGGGGCCCGCACAAGCGGAGGAACAUGUGGUUUAAUUCGAUGAUACACGAGGAACCUUACCCGGGCUCAAACGACACAGGAAUACUUUUGAAAGGAGGUAGCUCUACGGAGUCUGUGUCGAGGUGCUGCAUGGUUGUCGUCAGCUCGUGCCGUGAGGUGUCGGCUUAAGUGCCAUAACGAGCGCAACCCCCAUCGCCAGUUACCAGCAAGUCAAGUUGGGGACUCUGGCGAGACUGCCGGCGCAAGCUGUGAGGAAGGCGGGGAUGACGUCAAAUCAGCACGGCCCUUACGUCCGGGGCGACACACGUGUUACAAUGGCAGGUACAGAGAGAAGCAAUGCGGCGACGCAAAGCGGAACUUGAAAGCCUGUCUCAGUUCGGAUUGGAGUCUGCAACUCGACUCCAUGAAGCUGGAUUCGCUAGUAAUCGCGCAUCAGCCAUGGCGCGGUGAAUACGUUCCCGGGCCUUGUACACACCGCCCGUCAAGCCAUGGAAGCCGGGAGUGCCUGAAGUGUGCAACCGCAAGGAGCGCCCUAAGGUAAAACUGGUGACUGGGGCUAAGUCGUAACAAGGUAACCGUAA
This 1499-nucleotide ribosomal RNA is filed under the name uncultured bacterium. RNAcentral describes it as "partial 16S ribosomal RNA". It matches the Rfam family "Bacterial small subunit ribosomal RNA". The record is from RNAcentral.